UUUUUAUUAGUUUGCGACUUCUAGACUUUCGCCAUAGAAGCUUAAUCGCGGCUUUAGUUCAGUUUGUUUAAAGUUUUUUAUACGCCUGUGACAGCGGUAUAAAAAUAAGGGUGGGUAGUUGACUACACGACAGCGAUGCAAGCAAAGACUGAAGUAAGCCAGGUCUACCAGAAAGUUCCGCGGGUCAACAUCAGGCCUGUAGACCGAAGUCAAACAGAGCCUUCUGUUUUGUUUUUGGGUGUGGUAAUGAUCCUUCCGCAGGUUCACCUACGGAAA
Molecule: unclassified non-coding RNA, 276 nt
Filed under: uncultured fungus
Lineage: Eukaryota; Fungi
Description: sequence contains ITS1
Source: RNAcentral